UCUAUUCAUUUAUUUAACUAUUUGUCUAUUCAAUAGCUCAUUUAUUCAUUAACUUGAAAUUUUAUUUAAUCACCUAUCCAAUCCAUGAUUCAUCAACCUAUCUGUUGAUUUAUUCAUAUAUUGGUUUAUUCAUGGACUCAUUUAUUCAUUUAUCCAUUUAUUCAACCAUUCAUUAAUUCAUUAAGUUCAAAAUACCAUUUAAUCACUUAUUUAUCAACCUCCCACUUGAUUUAUUCAUCUAUUGGUUUAUAUUUAUCUUAUUUAACUACUCGUCUAACUGUUAAUUUAUUCAUUUAUUGGUUCAUUUGUUUUCUUUUUCUAUAUAUUUAACCCUUUAAUCAGUUAUUCAUACAUUUCUCUAGAUCUAUUCAUCAAUACAUUUAUUUAUUCAUUGAUCUGCUGCUUCAUUAAUUCAUUUUACCCUUUAUUUAGUUGUUUAUACAUUUCUACAGAUAUAUUCAUUAAUUCAUUAAAUCCAGGAAGUAUCACGUAAGAACUAUAGGAGAACCAAGCACAGGUUCAGAGGACCAGACUAUACAUCAAGUAAACAAGAUGGAGCAGAGUAUGGUGGGCAGUCUGACCACAGAUGAUGAGGCUAUCACCGUCCACCAUUCCAAAUUCUCCAGCUACGAAGAGUAGAAUCUCAAAUAGUUUUUUGACCAAAUCAAUAAUUUUAUUGGAGACCCCAAGCUUUUCAUCGGAGACUCCUGAUUUACAUGGACACACAUUGACUGUCACCAAAAGCGUUUAAGCUUUUCAUCGGAGACCUUUUAUAAAAAAAUGAAGGUUAUUCUUUUGAAAUAUAUCGUCUCCAGUGUAAAUCUAUAGGGUCUCUGAUGAAAAUCUGAGAGGGUCUCUGAUGAAAAUCUGGGAGGGUCUCCGAUGAAAACAUCUAGCUCCUCACUGAAAAUUUGAGGUCUUGAAUAUUAGGUAGUAUUCCAAUGAUGAUGAGUUCCUUUCAAAAUGAUAGAAAUUUGGAUUUUGAUACUAAAAGGUCAUUGAUUAAAUCUUAUAAAAGUGUAAACUAGGUUCAUUUUUACGAAAAUUUACAUAUAUUUCA
This is a long non-coding RNA of Eurytemora carolleeae, 1060 nucleotides long. RefSeq lists it as uncharacterized. The transcript is spliced from 2 exons. NCBI's taxonomy places the organism in Eukaryota, Metazoa, Arthropoda, Copepoda, Calanoida, Temoridae. The record is from RefSeq and is a predicted model, not a curated record.